GUAGGUGGCAAGCGUUGUCCGGAAUUAUUGGGCGUAAAGCGCGCGCAGGUUGGUUCUUUAAGUCUGAUGUGAAAGCCCCCGGGCUCAACCGGGGAGGGUCAUUGGAAACUGGGGAACUUGAGUGCAGGAGAGGAAAGUGGAAUUCCACGUGUAGCGGUGAAAUGCGUAGAUAUGUGGAGGAACACCAGUGGCGAAGGCGACUUUCUGGCCUGUAACUGACACUGAGGCGCGAAAGCGUGGGGAGCAAACAGGAUUAGAUACCCUGGUAGUCCACGCCGUAAACGAUGAGUGCUAAGUGUUGGGGGGUUUCCGCCCCUCAGUGCUGCAGCUAACGCAUUAAGCACUCCGCCGUGGGGAGUACGGUCGCAAAGACUG
This 375-nucleotide ribosomal RNA is filed under the name uncultured organism. Its description in RNAcentral is "partial 16S ribosomal RNA". It matches the Rfam family "Bacterial small subunit ribosomal RNA", at positions 527 to 896 of the family's 1533-position model. The record is from RNAcentral.